UCAAGCUAAUAAGAGCGCAGGGUGGAUGCCUUGGCACUAAGAGCCGAUGAAAGACGUGAUAAGCUGCGAAAAGCUUCGGGGAGGAGCAAAUAUCCUUUGAUCCGGAGAUCUCUGAAUGGGGAAACCUACUUGAGUGUACCUCAAGUGACGUAUGGUGAAUCCAUAGCCAUACGCCGGGAACCCGGUGAACUGAAACAUCUAAGUAGCCGGAGGAAGAGAAAGAAACAUCGAUUCCGGAAGUAGCGGCGAGCGAACCCGGAAGAGCCCAAACCAGCGUGCGUGCAUGCUGGGGUUAAGGACUGCAUAAGUGAGCCGAUCUGUUAAUGGAACUGCCUGGGAAGGCAGGCCAGAGAGGGUGAAAGCCCCGUACAUGAAAACGGUAGGCAGCGGCAGGAUCCAGAGUACCGCGAGACACGAGAAACCUUGCGGGAAGUCGGAGGGACCACCCUCCAAGGCUAAAUACUCCUUAGUGACCGAUAGCGCAUAGUACUGUGAAGGAAAGGUGAAAAGGACCCCGGGAGGGGAGUGAAAGAGAACCUGAAACCCUGUGUUUACAAGCUGUGGGAGCACGUUAAGGUGCAACCGCGUACUUUUUGUAGAACGGUCCGGCGAGUUGCCGGUGCUGGCAAGGUUAAAUGGUACAGCCAUGGAGCCGAAGGGAAACCAAGUCUCAAAUGGGCGUAAAGUCAGCACAGGCAGACCCGAAACCGGGUGACCUAUCCAUGUCCAGGAUGAAGCGGAAGUAAAAUUCCGUGGAGGUCCGGAUCCACAUCCGUUGAAAAGGGUGGGAAUGAGGUGUGGAUAGGGGAGAAAUUCCAAUCGAACCCGGAGAUAGCUGGUUCUCCUCGAAAUAGCUUUAGGGCUAGCCUCGUAUUAGUUUAGCGGAGGUAGAGCACUGAAUUCCUAAGGGGGCGUCAAAGCUUACCAAGGGAUAUCAAACUCCGAAUGCCGCAUAAAUGAUGUACGGGAGUCAGACUGCACGAGAUAAGUUGGGCAGUCAAAAGGGAAAGAGCCCAGACCUGCUGCUAAGGUCCCAAAGUACGUGUUAAGUGGAAAAGGAUGUGGGAUUUCGAAGACAACUAGGAUGUUGGCUCAGAAGCAGCCACACAUUCAAAGAGUGCGUAAUAGCUCACUAGUCGAGAGGUCCUGCGCCGAAAAUGUCCGGGGCUAAAACACAACACCGAAGCUUAGGAAUGUAGAAAUACAUUGGUAGAGGAGCAUUCUUAAAGGAAUGAAGCAGUACCGGUAAGGAGCUGUGGACUUUUAAGAAGAGAGAAUGCCGGAAUGAGUAGCGAGAUGGAGGUGGGAAUCCUCCAGGCCGAAUAUCCAAGGUUUCCAGAGUAAAGCUGAUCUGCUCUGGGUAAGUCGGGGCCUAAGGCGAGGCUGAAAAGCGUAGCCGAUGGACAACAGGUUGAGAUUCCUGUACCGCGUAUCAUCAGAACUGUGGGGACACAGAAGGACAGCACAUCCCGGGAAUGGAAAGACCGGGGCAAGCAGGGUAGGAGUUAAGCUGGCAAAUCCGCUUAACAAUCCGAAGCUGUGAUGCGGAGCGAAUUUAAGUAGCGAAGUGUGCGAUUCCAGCUGUCAAGAAAAGCCGCUAUUGUGUGAUACGUGCCCGUACCGUAAACCGACACAGGUAGAUGAGGAGAGAAUCCUAAGGCCGGCGGGAGAAGCAUUGUUAAGGAACUCGGCAAAAUGACCCUGUAACUUCGGGAGAAAGGGUGCCUGGGAAACCAGGCCGCAGAGAAUAGGCUCAAGCAACUGUUUAGCAAAAACACAGGUCUAUGCAAAACCGUAAGGUGAGGUAUAUGGGCUGACGCCUGCCCGGUGCUGGAAGGUUAAGAGGAGGGGUUAGCGCAAGCGAAGCUCUGAAUUGAAGCCCCAGUAAACGGCGGCCGUAACUAUAACGGUCCUAAGGUAGCGAAAUUCCUUGUCGGGUAAGUUCCGACCCGCACGAAAGGCGUAAUGAUUUGAGCGCUGUCUCGACAAUGCACCCGGUGAAAUUGAAAUACCAGUGAAGAUGCUGGUUACCCGCGCCAGGACGGAAAGACCCCAUGGAGCUUUACUCCA
Molecule: ribosomal RNA, 2070 nt
Filed under: human gut metagenome
Description: bacterial LSU rRNA
Rfam family: Bacterial large subunit ribosomal RNA
Source: RNAcentral